AAAUAAAUGAAUAAAUAAAUAAAAUAAUAAAAAAAUCCACAUAAUUCAAUGAUAACUACACAAGACAGCAUCACUUCAAACACUGGUCAAUUUAACCAGCAUAAUGUAUAAUUAAAGAUUUAUUUUCACAGCUUAAAAUGCAACAAAAGUCAGAUAAUUGACAAAAUUAUUUCAAAACACUUCACUUCAAUCUUAUACCUGGAUUUCAAAGAAAAUUUUUUUCCAACAGCCACAAU
This 236-nucleotide unclassified non-coding RNA is filed under the name Hevea brasiliensis (rubber tree). The record is from RNAcentral. Lineage: Eukaryota; Viridiplantae; Streptophyta; Magnoliopsida; Malpighiales; Euphorbiaceae.